Long non-coding RNA from Chrysemys picta bellii (western painted turtle), 1636 nucleotides. RefSeq lists it as uncharacterized. The record is from RefSeq and is a predicted model, not a curated record. Lineage: Eukaryota; Metazoa; Chordata; Testudines; Emydidae.
UUAACAUAAGCAGAAGAAAACAGAAAACUGUUAUUCAGAGCAGGGUUUGAAUAGAGUGCAGUCAAUAAGGCACAGGACCACUUUACAGAAAACUCUGGGAAAAAUGACCUUGCUGACUGCAACUUUUCCUGCUCAAUCAUUCUACUUGUCCGCAUGUGCCUUCAGAUGAGCAAAUGUAACAGGCUGUGCUGCUACGUGUGAUAGCAUAAGAUAGGAGAAUAAUCAUGCUUUGCACUCUCGUAGCUCUCUACAUAUCGAAAGGUCAGAGAGAGACUAAGGGGGGGAGCGACUGGCUCACGUCACACGAGCUCAAUACCAGGGGGGAGAGACACCACCAUCAAGCUGUCACUCACAAAACUCAGGAAUGGUGCGAUCGAGUCAGAGCCUCAGAAACCUACAUUCCCACUGAUGGGCAGAGGAUUUAGCAUUAAUGAACGGACCAAAUGGCGAACGAUCGUUACGGCCAACUGUCUGGCUAAGUGUUGAAGAAGAUUUUAAACCCCCCAAAGGCAAGCAAUAUGAAGUUAUUAUUCUCACAGGAACUGAAACCUGACCCCUCCUGGACCUUACACAUAUCUAUUAGGUGGUUUUAAGAAUGCCUUAGUAUUGCAGAUGGGCCCGGGAAAUGCUGUUAAGAUCUGGAUGUGCUUUAGGCAGGGGGGAUCAAGGUAAAAGUUAAAUCAGAGCUGGGGCUCACUGUAAUCUCACAACAUGUUUUUGUGGGACCUUGGGGUCCAAAUUGCACAAGUCUCACAACGCCAGUUGGUCUCAUGCAAUUUUACCCUCAUCUGAACAAAGCCCUGGAAUGAAAUCCCAUAAAUGCUUGAUCUGCAGCCAAAUUUCCCCUGCCCUGAAAUUCAGAACCUCAGAUCCAAGUGCCUUCAGUUUUGUCCCAUCUCCACUUAAUGUUGUAUCAACGUGGCCAAGUAGUUCAUUAACUUUUUGAGGCUCUUCUGUUUUGUUUUUGUAUUUAAUUUCUUUAGAAACAAAGGAGAAAAACAAAUAUGAGAAAAUGGCCAGGGCAUUUAUCAGUCUGUGAAUCUGAAUAUGCAGUCUAGUGAGCCCACAGUCUCCAUUCAUAUUUCAUGCCCUCUCUAGAGUGGAUUCCAAUGAAAGUGAGUUGAGAGGGCCCAGCAUCUUGGAGAAUUGGGACCAAAAAAGCUACAUGUUUUUAAAAGUACACUUCUACAAUAAGGAAGCUAGUUGCGAUUAUUUUCCCCUUUCAAAAUUACCAAUCAUUCAGGGCCUCCAUAUGGAGCUGACAGCAGGAACCUCAGUGCACAAGUACAAGGGUGGCCAUAAAAUAUUACUUUGCAUUGAAAGACAUGAAGCUGUCAUCUACAACAUCAUUAAAACUUCUCAAUUAAGAAUUUCUGGAGUAACCUAUUCAGCUGUAAUGGCAGCAAUUUACAGUACUAGAGGAAACUGAAUUCUACACAUCGAGACAGCUGAAAUAUAAAAGGAAACAAUACAUUUGAUUAUAUGAAGUGCUUUAAAAUGUUGGCAUCCAAAGAUCAAUGCAAAUCUAGAUUUUUUUUAAACCUUCCUGUACUAUGACUUGCAAGGUACCAUAAUUUCCCCUCCCUCAUCACCUCUACUAUAUUUAGAAAAUAAAGAUACAAUUUUGGUUUGUUUA